GCCCCCUGGAUAGCUCAGUUGGUUACAGCAUGGUGCUGAUAAUGCCAAGGUUGCAGGUUUGAUCCCUUUAUGGGACA
This 77-nucleotide transfer RNA is filed under the name Podarcis lilfordi (Lilford's wall lizard). RNAcentral describes it as "tRNA.Ile". The record is from RNAcentral. Lineage: Eukaryota; Metazoa; Chordata; Lepidosauria; Squamata; Lacertidae.